GAAUAUUGGACAAUGGGGGGAACCCUGAUCCAGCCAUGCCGCGUGUGUGACGAAGGCCUUUUGGUUGUCAAGCCCUUUCAGCGAGGAGGAGGCGCUCUUCGUUAAUACCCACGAUUCUUGGACGUUACUCGCAUAAUUAGCACAGGCUAACUCUGUGCCAGCAGCCGCGGUAAUCCAGAGGGUGCAAGCGUUAAUCGGAUUUACUGGGCGUAAAGCGCGCGUAGGUGGACAAUUAAGGCAAAUGUGAAAUCCCGGAGCUUAACUUGGGAAUUGGAUUAGAUACUGGUUGGCGAGAGUAUGGGAGAGGAGGGUAGAAUGCCAGGUGUAGCGGUGAAAUGCGUAGAGAUCUGGAGGAAUACCGAUGGCGAAGGCAGCCAUCUGGCCUAAUACUGACACUGAGGUGCGAAAGCAUGGGGAGCAAACA
This 424-nucleotide ribosomal RNA is filed under the name uncultured bacterium. RNAcentral describes it as "partial 16S ribosomal RNA". It matches the Rfam family "Bacterial small subunit ribosomal RNA", at positions 359 to 774 of the family's 1533-position model. The record is from RNAcentral.